AGACAAUGGCGCAUCGUUUAAGAAAAUCUCCAGAGUGGUUUAUGUUCGAAAAUCUGAAGUUACGGUUAAAAAACUGAAAUUGUGAAAUUGACAAAAUGAGAUUAGGGGGGUAGGCCAAUUUAAGUUAAUUUUGGACCAAUUUCAAGAGAUUGUGACGGGCGACGACUAUAUAGGUGUUGUAGAGGAGACAAUUGCGCAUCGUUUAAGAAAAUCUCCAGAGUGGUUUAUGUUCGAAAAUCUGAAGUUACGGUUAAAAAACUGAAAUUGUGAAAUUGACAAAAUGAGAUAAGGGGGUAGGCCAAUUUAAAUUAAUUUUGGACCAAUUUUAAGAGAUUGUGACGGGCAACGACUAUAUAGGUGUUGUAGAGGAGACAAUGGCGCAUCGUUUAAGAAAAUCUCCAGAGUGGUUUUUGUUCGAAAAUCUGAAGUUACCAUUAAAAAACUGAAACUUUUAUUGUGAAAUUGACAAAAUGAGAUUAGGGGGGUAGGGCAAUUUAAGUUAAUUUUGGACCAAUUUCAAGAGAUUGUGACGGGCAACGACUAUAUAGGUGUUGUAGAGGAGACAAUGGCGCAUCGUUUAAGAAAAUCUCUAGAGUGGUUUAUGUUCGAAAAUCUGAAGUUACGGUUAAAAAACUGAAAAUUUUAUUGUGAAAUUGACAAAAUGAGAUUAAGGGGAUAGGGCACUAAAAGAAAAAUUUGGACCAUUUUAAAGAGAUUGUGACGGGCAACGACUAUAUAGGUGUUGUAGAGGAAACAAUGGCGCAUCGUUUAAGAAAAUCUCCAGAGUGGUUUAUGUUCGAAAAUCUGAAGUUACGGUUAAAAAACUGAAAUUGUGAAAUUGACAAAAUGAGAUAAGGGGGUAGGCCAAUUUAAAUUAAUUUUGGACCAAUUUUAAGAGAUUGUGACGGGCAACGACUAUAUAGGUGUUGUAGAGGAGACAAUGGCGCAUCGUUUAAGAAAAUCUCCAGAGUGGUUUAUGUUCGAAAAUCUGAAGUUACGGUUAAAAAACUGAAAUUGUGAAAUUGACAAAAUGAGAUUAGGGGGGUAGGCCAAUUUAAGUUAAUUUUGGACCAAUUUCAAGAGAUUGUGACGGGCAACGACUAUAUAGGUGUUGUAGAGGAGACAAUGGCGCAUCGUUUAAGAAAAUCUCCAGAGUGGUUUAUGUUCGAAAAUCUGAAGUUACGGUUAAAAAACUGAAAUUGUGAAAUUGACAAAAUGAGAUAAGGGGGUAGGCCAAUUUAAAUUAAUUUUGGACCAAUUUCAAGAGAUUGUGACGGGCAACGACUAUAUAGGUGUUGUAGAAGAGACAAUGGCGCAUCGUUUAAGAAAAUCUCCAGAGUGGUUUAUGUUUGAAAAUCUGAAGUUACGGUUAAAAAACUGAAACUUUUAUGGUGAAAUUGACAAAAUAAGAUUAGGGGAGUAGGGCAACUUAAGUUAAUUUUGGACCAAUUUUAAGAGAUUGUGACGGGCAACGACUAUAUAGGUGUUGUAGAAGAGACAAUGGCGCAUCGUUUAAGAAAAUCUCCAUAGUGGUUUAUGUUCGAUA
Long non-coding RNA from Mytilus californianus (California mussel), 1546 nucleotides. RefSeq lists it as uncharacterized. NCBI's taxonomy places the organism in Eukaryota, Metazoa, Mollusca, Bivalvia, Mytilida, Mytilidae. The record is from RefSeq and is a predicted model, not a curated record. The transcript has 5 exons.